RNAcentral lists this ribosomal RNA (382 nucleotides) under uncultured eukaryote. RNAcentral describes it as "partial 18S ribosomal RNA". It matches the Rfam family "Eukaryotic small subunit ribosomal RNA", at positions 592 to 976 of the family's 1831-position model. The record is from RNAcentral.
UGUAAGCGUAUACCAAAGUUGUUGCAGUUAAAACGCUCGUAGUCGGAAUUUGGCAGUUCCGGAUGUGUGCACGUCGUGUGCGCACUUCGCGGGGAUUGCUUUUGUGGUCUUGCGUAGGAUGAGGCACUUUUAUUAGUGAACGUCCUCACGCAACCACUUUUUACUGUGAGAAAAUCAGAGUGCUCAAAGCAGGCAUUUGCCGUGAAUGUAUUAGCAUGGAAUAAUAGAAUAGGACUUGGUUCUAUUUUGUUGGUUUGUUGGGACUGAGUAAUGAUUAAGAGGGACAGUUGGGGGCAUUUGUAUUUCGGUUCUAGAGGUGAAAUUCUUAGAUUACCGAAAGACAAACUGCUGCGAAAGCGUCUGCCAAGGAUGUUUUCAUUGA